RNAcentral lists this ribosomal RNA (728 nucleotides) under uncultured Acidobacteriota bacterium. RNAcentral's name for it is "bacterial SSU rRNA". It matches the Rfam family "Bacterial small subunit ribosomal RNA", at positions 69 to 776 of the family's 1533-position model. The record is from RNAcentral. Lineage: Bacteria; Pseudomonadati; Acidobacteriota.
GAAAGUUCCCUUCGGGGAGCAAGUAGAGUGGCGCACGGGUGAGUAACACGUAGGUAAUCUACCUUUGGAUGGGGAAUAACAACCGGAAACGGUUGCUAAUACCGCAUAAUGCAGCGGCACCUAAUGAUGACAGUUGUUAAAGCGGGGGAUCGAAAGACCUCGCGUCUGAAGAGGAGCCUGCGGCGGAUUAGCUAGUUGGUAAGGUAACGGCUUACCAAGGCAGUGAUCCGUAGCCGGCCUGAGAGGGCGGUCGGCCACACUGACACUGACAUACGGGUCAGACUCCUACGGGAGGCAGCAGUCGGGAAUUUUGGGCAAUGGGCGAAAGCCUGACCCAGCAACGCCGCGUGAAGGAUGAAAUCCCUCGGGAUGUAAACUUCGCAAGAACGGGAAGAAUAAGUGAGAGUUAACAUCUCUCGCGAUGACGGUACCGUUUGUAAGCUCCGGCUAACUCCGUGCCAGCAGCCGCGGUAAUACGGGGGGAGCAAGCGUUGUUCGGAUUUACUGGGCGUAAAGGGCGCGUAGGCGGCCACCGCAAGUCGAUUGUGAAAUCUCCGGGCUUAACCCGGAAAGGUCAACCGAUACUGCGGGGCUAGAGUGCAGAAGGGGCAACUGGAAUUCUUGGUGUAGCGGUGAAAUGCGUAGAUAUCAAGAGGAACACCUGCGGCGAAGGCGGGUUGCUGGGCUGACACUGACGCUGAGGCGCGAAAGCUAGGGGAGCGAACGGG